This 68-nucleotide transfer RNA is filed under the name Psittacula roseata (Blossom-headed parakeet). Its description in RNAcentral is "tRNA-Glu". It matches the Rfam family "tRNA". From Rfam's summary of the family: Transfer RNA (tRNA) molecules are approximately 80 nucleotides in length. Their secondary structure includes four short double-helical elements and three loops (D, anti-codon, and T loops). The record is from RNAcentral. Lineage: Eukaryota; Metazoa; Chordata; Aves; Psittaciformes; Psittacidae.
GUUUCCAUAGUUAAGGUAUAUAACGAUGGUUUUUCAGGCCAUAGAUCUUGGGUUAAUUCCAAGUGGGA